UCUUUCUCAUAGUUGUUCCUUUCAUACUAAAAGGACUUUUCCUACUUCUCUGUUUAGGAGCAUAAUCCAGAGACAGUUCAUAUGAAGGUCCGUGAGCAAGGCAAAUCGUCUCCCUCCUGUCCUGCGUGAGUGAAGACACUUAACCUGCUCUCUCUGCAAUGUCGUGUCUAUGCUGGUGGGCAUUGCCGUGAUCCAUGUGGUUUUCAUCACUGCCAGGAAGGGGAGCUCCUUGGUCUGAGAGAAGAGAUGCAUGUCUGGGACCGCAUCCCACCGUCRCAGGCAGUGACAGCCGGCGCUGCUGCUCUCUGCAGGCUAUUGCCCAGGUGCCAAAGCCCAGAUGUGGAAUAUGACGCUGGACAAAGACGCAUGAUGGGGGCACACAGGAUUGUUCACGCAGAAAACACRUAAUCCCUCUGGGAUCCCGUCCUCUGUGAGUGUUGCUCUCUAAUCUCAGUGUCCUGGCUSUUGGGCAGUAGCUUUUAACUCUGCAAGUAGGAAGGAAAUGAGGGCUCUCCCUCUCCACACACCGUCACUGGGUUCAGCUCUUUAGCCCUAGAUACCUGCUCUUGCAGGCAGACUGUCCUGACACUGCUCUUCCCGAGAUGAAGGCUUCCUGCGG
RNAcentral lists this long non-coding RNA (619 nucleotides) under Dromaius novaehollandiae (emu). Its description in RNAcentral is "lncRNA (ENSDNVG00000011767.1)". Lineage: Eukaryota; Metazoa; Chordata; Aves; Casuariiformes; Dromaiidae. The record is from RNAcentral.